Molecule: ribosomal RNA, 180 nt
Filed under: uncultured bacterium
Lineage: Bacteria
Description: partial 16S ribosomal RNA
Rfam family: Bacterial small subunit ribosomal RNA
Source: RNAcentral
CGCACGGGAGGCAGCAGUGGGGAAUCAUGGGCAAAGGGUGCAAGCCUGGCCCAAGCAUGAUCCAUGAGGGAUGAAGGCCUUAGGGUGGCAAACCUGUGUCAGGAGUGAUGAACGGACUUAGGUGAUGACGGUACCUCCAGAGGAAGCCCCGGCUAACUCCGUGCCAGCAGCCGCGGUAAU